RNAcentral lists this long non-coding RNA (9583 nucleotides) under Mytilus galloprovincialis (Mediterranean mussel). Lineage: Eukaryota; Metazoa; Mollusca; Bivalvia; Mytilida; Mytilidae. The record is from RNAcentral.
AAAUAAAAAGGCACGUACAGUAUCCUACAGAAAACUAACAGGUAACCAGUUCAAUAAUCACUAUGUGGAACAUAAGUCGUAUUUUAACCUUAUUUAGAAAUUAUUGUACAUAUUGUUGAUGUUAGUUUGAAGUUAAUUUUUAUCUUAUUUUAAUUGUUAUUUAAAAAUAAGGAGUUUUAUAAAUAUAACAGGUUGAACAGAAGAUGAUAUAUUGAUGCAAUACUACACUGCAUAUAAAAAAAAGAAGUGGUAUGAUUGCCAAUGAGACAACUGUCCACAAGAGACCAAAAUGACACAAACAUUAACAACUAUAGGUCAACGUAAGGCCUUCAAUAAUGAGGAAAGUUCACACCGCGUAGUCAGCUAUUAAAGGCCCAGAUAUGCCAAUGUAAAAUAAUUCAAACAAGAAAACUAACGGCUUUGUUUAUAUAUAUAAAAAAUGAACGAAAAACAAAUUUGUAACACAUAAACAAACGGCAACCACUAAAUUACAGGCUCCUGACUUGGGACAGGCACAUUCAUAAAUAGUGUGGCGGGGUUAAACAUGUUGGCGGGAUCCCAACCCUCCCCUUAACCUUGGACAGUGGUAUAAGAGUACAACUUAAGAACGAACCAUAAAAAUCAGUUCAAAAAGGCUAAGCUCAUCAGAUAAGUUAUUAACAUUUACUUUUUUUCUCUAUAAUUGUUAAAUAUAUCAUUUGCUUAGUGAUCCUAUAUAAGGAAGAUUAUUAAUACAAGAUGAAAAAACAGGAAGUGGUGCUGUGUAGACAUUCUCUAUUAAAUAUCUAGAAUAGUAUUUAUUUAAUUAUCUACAAUCCCAUAACUAUCAUAAACAGAGGUGAAAAAACUGACAAGGUAUUAACUUUAUUCUAUUGUCAGUUGAUAAGAGUGUUACACAAUCAGGUAAUACUUUUACUGGAAUUGCCGACAGGGAUGGAAUUUGAAAUUUUUUUUUAAAGGCUUCUAUGAAGGCGUUUUCUAGAAACAAUGUUAUCCAAAGAAAAAAGGGCAUGACGUCUGUCAAUGCUUAACAUGCUUGGGGGAAAUACUAAGUGUAACAAUGGUCUUUGUGAACCUCUUAUCCAUUAUUAAUCCUGCUCAUUUUAUUGAAAAAUGUAUUCUAUAUAUGUAAUAAGUACAAAUGUCAUGUGAUGUUUAUUUUUAAAUCUUCUUUAAAUCAGUCAACGAAGAAAUGAUUCAAAAACUUGAUAUAUUUGUGUUUUUUCUCAUUUUGGGUUAUUCUAAAUUGAUGAGACAUUUGACCCUAGAAAUUUAAUACUCAGACACUUUUAUAUCUAAUUGUUAAACAUUAUAUGACUAUAAGUAUAAAAUUACUUUCUUAAAGGCUCCUGUUCGUGGUAUUAACGCGACUUUGCUCUCUCAUCUUGAUCAUAAGAAGUCGUAUGGAAUACAAAUGAAGUUAUAUAACGUCGCUGGGCUUCUAAAAUGUCGUAUAUGACUUUUUUGGCUAAAAUACUUUUUGAGACCAAAGGUCUGGGUGGGAGAAAAUCUUUGGUAUCACAAAAUAGCAUACAGUUAGACCAAUCAAAAUGUGUGAAAUAAGACAUAUUACAAAAUUGGCAAUGUCAGUUUUUUGUAAAGUUUGCUUCCAAAAUGUUGUAUGAAAACUUGCAAAUCGUUGUAGAAUGGCUUUGAGAAAAAAAUAAUUGUACAUUUCUUUAUUUCUGUGAAAAUAAUUUAAGUUCUUGGAUAAUCCAGAAAUGUAAAAGUUUUUAUUUUAGUUUAGAAUUAAUGAAAUUACAUUAUCCGAGAAUCCGAAGUUAAAAAUUAACAAUGAGGGUUUUUGCUUGUAAUAGAGCUGUCUUCUUAUUUCAUUAUAUUAAUGUUCUAUGUCUUUAAAUGUAUUUUUAUAAUUGUUGUCAUUUGGUAUCUUGCACAGAUUUGCCUCAUACAUAAUCUUCUUUUAUAUAUGGCUAUAUAAAUGUUCGGCACUACAAAAAUAUUUUGAUCAUAAAAUAUAAUAAAAAAAGAAAAACUGUUAAAUUAUCCAACGAAAAACAUUCAUUUGUAAUAGAAACGUUAGACAAUCUCAUGUUAUUGAACACCGGGAUCAAAUAUGUUUUGCGGAAAAUGAUAAAAGUCAGCCCUUAAUUUCGUAGAUGGGAAUAAAAUAUUGAAAUAUCUGCAAAUAGAUUUAAUAUUGUAAGCAGGAUAAAAUUUAGAAUGCAAAUUUGGAAUGUGUCAACGAGAUAACAACCCGACCAUAGAGCAGACAACAGCCAAAGUCUACCAUUGGGUCUGCAAUGCAACGAGAAACUCCCACACCCAAAGGAGUCCUUCAGCUUGCCCCUAAACAAAUAUAUAUAUACUAGUUCAAUGAUAAUGGACGUCAUACCGAACUCCGAAUUAUUCACAAAAAACUAAAAUUAAAAACCAUACAAUACAAAACAAAGGCCAGAGGCUCCUGACUUGGAACAGGUUCAAAUUACGGCGGUGUAAAGAUGUUUAACUUGCUGUUGCUAUGAGUGGAAAAUAACAUUGUAUAAAUAUGAGACCAAUUAGGCAAUUAUUCAACUUGGUAUGUUGUUUCGAUUUUCAUUAUAUAUGAAAAAUACAUUGUCUAGUGUUAUGUUUCUUUUAUUUACUACUAUACAUAUCUACGUUUAGUCAGGGCAAUGAUUAUAAGGGUAUUUAUUCUUUCAAAGAAUUACACAAUAUUUCAGGCUUGUGAAUCUUAACAUCCCUUUUUGUUCGGAUGAAUUUAUGCCUUUGUGCUUUGUCUGUGUUGACUGCUGCGCCCCUAUUUUUUACAUUUUGUCUGUUUAUUUUAUUCACACAACGUGUUCAGUAAAUGGAUUCUUAUGCGGGUGUCACGUGGUUUGGGAAUUUGUCUAGCUUUAUAGUCAGCGUGAAUCCAGCAUGUCGUAUUGCUUAAUCUUUAGUUUGAAAAAAAUGAACUACGAGCACACGUGUGUCUAACCCUUUGACGAAGCCUGCAUUGUGGAUGUUUUACACUAAACACAUUUUUUAUAAUUCAUAUAACGUGUAUAACGAAACAAAUAAAACAGUGUCAUAUUAUGUUUAAUUCGAAUGAAAUAUCUGUUUACACCGUUAUUGAUACUCAAUAUACUUUUUUUCACAUGCUUAAUUUAUCCUUUUUCUCAAGCUUUAAUUCUUUAAAAAAAAAAAAAGUGUGUCAUGGAGUGCUUUAUCAAAAAGUGCAGUGGUGUAGAUUGGACUUUAAACUUAAAAUUGGUUGCUAUUGAAAGGUUUGUGAAAUAUAUUACUAAUAUGUGAAUAUUUGAAGUAUUUUAUAGAAAGCUUGCGGUAAGACGAUUUCUUUUUCUCUUCGUUAACAUACUUUGUCUUAAACAGUUUGUCACUGAACACUUUACAAUUACUUGAUUUACAUUUGAAAGCGUUAUGUUAUUUCACUAAAAAUUAAAGCAAAAGGAAAUGCUAAUAGAGGUCGGUCAUUUAAAGACGUAUCAACCGUAUCAUAUACUUUGACGUAUCCGCAUCUACAGAUAUACCAAAACAGUAUAUGAUCCCUAGCUUUAAUUGUAUGUACUUUCAAUAAUGCAAAUGGGCGACUGAUUAAUUUCUAAUGCAGAAAUUUAAAAAAAAAAAAGGAAAUAUGGAGAUUUUGUGGAAUAUGUAACCCGACUUUUAAAGAUAUUCCGGAUAUAUAUUUGGAACAGUUAACGGGCAUGAUAGGAGUGAAUACGGUAAAAUCGUUUGUUUGUGUAUGAACUAUUUCUAACGUAGUACCAAAUUGUUAAUUGACAAAUAGAGUGAUACUCGGUACUUUUCUAUUACCUUUUAUGAUAAAGGGUUUUGUACGAUAUUCGUAUACCUAUCCUACAUUGAUUCCCUUUUAAGGGCAUGUAAAAGUAGUUGAUAGAACCCCUGAUUGUUUUUACAAAAUAGCACUAUCACAAAUAUUGAAAGUGCAUGUUUGAUUGUUUCAAAGAGAUUCAGAUUAGGUUUUGUUUAAAUAAAGCAUGGUCUUAUUAAUAAGCUCGGGAUCACAUAAUAUUUUUUGAUAUAUCUGCAGUUGCGUAUUAGAGGAUGGUCAUUUAGAGACGUUUCAAUCGUAUCAUAUACGUUGACGUAUCCGCAUCUGCAAAACAGUUUUUGUUCCCCAGCUUUAAUGUUAUGUAAUUUCAAUAAUGCAAAAAGACAACUGAUUAAUUUCUAAUGCCAAAAAUAACAAACAAUUAGGAAAUAUCGAGGAACAUGUAAUUUGACUUUUGAAAAUAUUCUGGAUAUUUUUAUCAGUUUACAGACAUGAAUACGGUAAAAUCGUUUGUUUGUGUAUUAGUUUGUGCUCACUUAGAACCAAAUUGUUAAUUGACCAAUAGAGUGAUACUCAGUACAUUUUUUAAAUGUAUUUACAUGACAUCUGAAGACAACUCGUGUUUCUAUUACCUUUUACGAUAAAACUGCAAAUGAACAAUAUUCAAAGUUCCUUACAUGUAUAUAUAAGUACAUUGUAGUACAUUUGAUUUUUUUUUUUUGUGUUUAUUCAUGCAAGAUCUUGAAAUAUUGUUUAACUAGAUUAUUAAAGGAUUGUGUAUGCUAUUCGUGUACCCGCCCUACAUUUGCCACCUUUUAAUGGUAUGUAAAAGUAGUUGAUAGACCCAGUGGCGAAUCCAGAAAUAAGAGGGGGCCCACUGACUGCCUAAGAGGGGGCCCAUUCCAGUCAUGCUACAGUGAUUCCCUAUAAGUGAGAUUUAUUAAAACGACAAAAAUUAUUAUAUAAGAUACUCAAACGUUUGUUUGUUUGUGUGGAAUUGAAUUGUAAUGAUGCAAAUAUUGUAGUCAUUUUAAUGGAAAUUAUGAACUAUCGUUUGAUAUACAUCCGUUUUGUUCAUCAGAAUGCAUUGUUUUUUUUAAAUGUUAUGUAUAAGCAUGAUAAGAGUACAUAUUGUUACUAACACAGGUACAGAAAUGAUAACUUAAAAAAAACCAAAGAAAGUAAGUAAGAAUAAAUCUAUUUAUUUUACUAUAAUUCUUAUUACUUGUAAGAAGGAUUCAGUUUUUUCGAGUUACCGGAAUUGAUCAGUUUAUGAUAAAGAGAUUCAAAGAAUUCCAUUAAAUCCGUCAAAUAUUAUGGCGUCAUAAUCAGUAAUCGUAUUCAGCUGUAAUCGAUUAUAUUUUGCAGUGUAAUCGUAUAAAAUCAGUAAUCAUGCCAUUUCUGAUUACAAGUAGUAGUAAUGUAAGGAAUUACAUUACAAAAAACAAGUGUUUUCAUGAUUACUUUUAGAUUACAUCAACAUGAUAACUUGCUGACUACAAAUCUUUGAAAAAAGUUUCUGAUAGACAAUAAGAAAAUAAGAAAAUGUAAAGCACAAAUAAAAAAUCAUUGAGCUAGUAUUCUCUAUGAUGGGACUCUGUUUAAUGUGAUAAAUUGUAUCACCUAUAUAUAUAACAAGUUUUUAAACCAAGCGUUCUAUUUAGUUAACAGUUAGAUCUUUUAUAUAAAGAGAGGUUACUUGUUUAUAGCAAUGAUAUCAAAUAAAACAUGUUACACUGUUCCGGUCUAAAAAAAACAUAUGACUUUACAAAAAAUCACCAAAAUUAGCUCUUUUGUGUGGAUAAAAAGUUAUAAGAAAUCGAUAUUUCAAUAUACAAAGUAAAGAUAAGUGAUCCAAAGAAACCAUAAUUACUUUAAAGAAAAGUGAUAUAAAGUAAUCAAAUACAUUUGAAAUAAGGUGUACUUGUACUGUAAUCGAUUACAUUUUAUUGCAAAGUAAUUGUAAUUCAAUCAAUUACAUUUUAAAGUAAUUGACGUCAUCCCUGCUUUAGAGCUGUCAAUCAUUCUCAGAUUGAUACACUAUUGCUUCUUGGUACACUUAUAGUCACUAAGACAGUGUUAAUAUGAUCAUCUUAAAGGCUAUAUGUAUGUGAUAUGCCUUUUGAAAUGGAUGUUAUGAUGUUAUGCAAAGCCCUUAUGCAAUAUAUAACUUUGAGGGAAAAACAAUUUACAAAAGAGAAUAGUGCUCUAACAUUUUGGUAGUAAUAAACAGCUUCAGUUGAAAUCAGUUCUAACAUCUCUAAAAGUCUGCCAGGACCGUUAGAACUUCAUUUGUAUUAUACUUUAGUUCUCAUAACAACAGUAUAUCAAAGAAAGAGGUCUACCCGAGAAUGAAUUUAGAUGUGCAAAGCCUUAACAUGGUUCAAUGUACUAACAUAUGCAAUCGCAAUCUUUUAAAUUCUAUUUCAUCACAGUCCUUAUUCUAGUGGGUACUAAUUGUGAAUCACUACUGGCCAACUUGUUUUUCUACUCCUAUAAAGUAGAUUUCAAAGAAAUAAAACUAAAGUUUUAGAGAAGUCAGAACUGAUUAUAACUGUAGCUGUUUAUUACAACCAAUACUUCUGUCCUUUAGUAUAAGGUUUCGUAAUGCAAAGGCGAGGACAAAAAUGUGAGGUUAUAACUAUCAUCUAGGGUGAUAGUAGACAAGAAUCUAGGGUUACCUGAUUGCCCCUUUGUCAAGAUGGAUGUAACGCCAGGACCAGAGGUCCGUAAAAUAAAAAUUGAUGUAUGACAGUACAAAUUUGUGUUUAAGUGCUGUCCUAAUAGUAAUAUAUAAUUCUAGAACUUAAGGUCAUCCCUUUCUCUGCCAUAGAGUUAUUCCCUGAUUUUUAUAUUCAACAUAAGAACCUGAUGUAAUGAAACUAUUUAUAGACAUAAUUAAUACAUGUAGAAAGCCCGACGUCUUUCCAUCAUUUUGAAAUGAAGAUAUUACCUCUUUAUAUCAUGGGUGGUAUUGCAAGGAUCUGAAGUCUUUAAUUUUGUUAUAUGGCAUUGUACCAAAAUGACAUUUGUUUCCUUUUCCUAUGAUGGUAUCGUACAAGGGCAUAUGGUACCACAUAUGUGAUAGAUGAUGCAUACAAAAAAUCGUAGCCCCCUUUUAAAUUGAAUGAUGUCAAACAAGUACGUGAUGUACCACUGUAUGCAUGUGAAUGUAGUAGAAUAUAUCACAUAAACAGUAAGUGCACCCUUUACAAAGGGUAGAUUUUGACCCCCUCAUUCAAUAGCCUUAUUUAGCAUGUGUUACUCCCUAUAAAUAGGGUGAUAUUAGAUAUCGGAUUAAAAUAUAGCAUAACCUAUAACUGAUUUGACUAAUCUUUUUCAAAAUUUUAUAUUAGGGAAAAUUAAAAACACUUGACAAUAGCUGUGUGCACCGUUUGUAACAUUGAAAAACACAUCAGAGGCAUGAUUACCCAGAAGCAGUGGUAGGCUUUAACACUUCGGGGGCCACAUUAUCAUAGAGGAAGGAUGCUCAUGUAUAAUCUCGAAUUUGUUUUGUUAAGCUCACAAAUGAUAUCGAAGCUAGUUUAGAGAUUAGCGGGGAGUUAAAACAAAUGUCCAUUUAUUUUAGUCUUCAAAGUACAAGAAUACCAAGCGAUGUACCAACUCAUGAGUCGAAGAAUAAAUAACACUACAAAAAGACAACCAUCAGUCUACAAUAUACAAUAUAGAAAGGCAUGACAAACUCUUACCCAAACAAACAUGUACAGCGGCGGAAAAUUCUUUUUUGUCUUCGAUCAGCUGCGUACGUUCGACUCUUUGCAUGCUUUAUGAAAAACAAGUUCUUGACAUUUCCCGAUUUUCACAUUUGGCAUCAUUCCUUUUAAUGGUUUGUUCAAUCAUUGGUACUUACAUUUAUUUGCUCUUAAAGAAGAGUGUUUAAAGUACAGUUUCAUCUAGUGUGUUUCUGUAAAAAAAACAACUUCGAUGUCAGAUUUUUCCUCUUUGUGAAAAAGAUAACUAUCAAGUUUUAGUGGUUUUUAUAUGAUAUAACAUGUAUCUACACAAAUAUACGCGUGUGACAUGUAUGUGUCUAUUAAUAUGUGUGUGUUUUGAUAACUGAAUUACUUUAUUUUUAGUGAAAUGGAAAAGAAGAAAAGAGAUUUGGCUUCAGAUGAAUUUUUGGAAUGUUCAUAGCUGCACCAAUGAUACAACUAAUGAAUGUCUACCACCGGUCUCAAUUUAAGAGCUUAAUAAUGUCAAAGAAAUGCCUUUAAUUGAUACGUAAACAACAAAAAUGAAUUAUUCAGAUAACGACCUCGUCAACAUAACUAGUAACGGAAACGACCUGAGUGACACUUUGUUAACUAUAUUAUUUUUUGACACCAUUUUGUUGACUUUCUAUCUCUUAAUCGGUGUUUCAGUUAACGUUUGUGCUGUUUUUCUUCUCAGGAGAGCGGUUCGCAGGACAACUGACUUUCUCGGGGAAGAUAACGUGAGAUAUCAAACAUUUUUCGUAAUGAUUGAGUUAACAGCAUGUGUUAUAGGAACGUCGAGUUUUAUAGCAAUUAACACUAAUCCAGUUGAUUUUUACGGCGAAUCACUUUGUACACUAAUGUUAGGAAGUAACAUGUUGUUUGCAAACUUAUCUGGAUCAUCAAUCGUACAUUAUCAUAUAACGAGUUUUUUUCGAUAUAUGUUAGUUUUCAUAAGACACAAACAAAUGAUGAUAUUAAGGUACAGCGGUGUAGUAUUUGCCUUAUUUUUUUCAAUUCCGUCCUUCAUAUUCUACGGGGAAACCGAUAUAGACUUUGAAAUCCAGAACAUAACCGUUUCGGGAAAAAUUUGUGGGGUCUCGAGAAAAGCUGACAAUUAUUCAUUUGUUCAAGCAUACCCGAUCGUUGUAUUGACAAUUUAUAUUAUUGAGUUUUUAUUCAUUGUUUUUGUAAGUAUUUUGGUAAAAGAUAGGUUAUCAUCAGGUUUACCAUUAAGGACAAACAAAAAAACAAGAAUACAGCCAGGCUUUAAAUAUACUUCGACGUCAAAAAUAAGAGUCGUCAAUAGUGGAACAGUUGAUAACUCAAAACCUCCAGACAAUUCCAAAAUCAUUGACCUUUAUGCAGACAAAGAUUGUUCAGUCGUAGACUUGGAUGUGCUGACUUGCAGUUCUUGUAAUGAAACAAAACGGAAAACUUGUGACAGGUUAUUAGCAUCAAAUUAUGAUUUGAUAAUGGAUCAAAAAAUAUGCGUUUCUGAUAACACGAAAUCAAGUAAUCAGACUCCUGUCGAGCCUGAGUACAUGAAAAUUAAAACAACGAAAGAAUGUUGUAUAUCUUGUCAUAAAAAAAUCUGUUUUCGUAAAGCACCAUCUUUUUUCAGUGGAAUCAUUUUAUUUGCUACAUCGACACUACCAAGAGCUAUUAUAAUGAUUCUUGAAUCUAACGAUAAAAACUUUUGGAGCAAACUGAGCAAAACAGAGUACAUGUUAUACAACUUUCUCUAUCGAGUUUAUUUAUUACAAUGCGUAUUGCAUCCAUUUAUCUAUUAUUGGUAUGCUAUGAAAGGUCAAUUCAAAAGAGAAAUUCGAAGAUGCAGAUUGAGAAAUAUAGAUUCCACACUCCAAGAAGUACAUUACGAUAUUUCUACACUCGAGACAGUUCAAUUGUAAUAUUUAAAGGGCGAGGCUUGCCGAGAAAAUUUAAAAAGUAUUUAUUAUUACAAAUAUAAAACUUCAAUUUUAGGUUUAAGUUUAAUUAAUCUUGAUAACAUUAAAUUUACAGCGUUUAUUUCUUUUUUAAUUUACGCAAAUUAUUAUAUAUAUAAUUUAGAUAUCUGUUUCACAUUAGACAUGUUAGAUUUAUAACA